RNAcentral lists this long non-coding RNA (295 nucleotides) under Elaeis guineensis (African oil palm). Its description in RNAcentral is "long non-coding RNA (EGUI_LNC068413)". Lineage: Eukaryota; Viridiplantae; Streptophyta; Magnoliopsida; Arecales; Arecaceae. The record is from RNAcentral.
UCUCCACUCUCAUCUCAAAAUCCCUCUUCUCACUAGAUUUUCUCAUUUAAAUCACCCCUUUAGGAUUUAAAUCUCUUUUCUCUUUCUUCUUCAUUUGGGUGGUUCGAGCUUAUCCUAGCUUCAAAUCCUUUUUUUUUUCAAACCAACGGUCUGUCUCUCCAAAAUCUUUGCUUUUUCUCUAAAAAUUUCUUCCACUCUACCACUCAUCAACUCUCCUAAGCUAUUUGCAAGUCUCUUUUGUCCAAAAUGGCUCCCAAAUCAAAGCUACCGCAGAGAAAAAAAUCAGUUCAAGGGU